AAUCUUGCAAAAUGGGCGAAAGCGUGAUGCCGCAACGCCGUGAGAGGGAUGAAGGCAUAAGGUUCNACAAUCUCUUUGAACAGGGANGAUAAUGACAGUACAUGAAAACCCAGAUACGCCUAACUACGAUCUAGCAGCCGCGGUAAUACGUAGGUGGCGAGUGUUGUCCGGAAUUACUGGGCGUACAGGAGGCGUAGGUGGAUACUUAAGUGGGAUGUGAAAUCCCCGGACUCAACCCGGGAACUGCAUUCCAAACUGGGUAUCUAGAGUGCAGGAGAGGAAAGCGGAAUUCCUAGUGUAGCGGUGAAAUGCGUAGAUAUUAGGAGGAACACCAGUGGCGAAGGCGGCUUUCUGGACUGUAACUGACACUGAGGCAUGAAAGCGUGGGUAGCAAACAGG
RNAcentral lists this ribosomal RNA (399 nucleotides) under uncultured bacterium. RNAcentral's name for it is "partial 16S ribosomal RNA". It matches the Rfam family "Bacterial small subunit ribosomal RNA", at positions 360 to 776 of the family's 1533-position model. The record is from RNAcentral.